AAUGGGAACGUUUUAUUCGGUGGUGAAAAAAAAUUAUGUAAUAUACUCCAGCACGCUUCCGGUGCUCACUCUAGGAAACGGAUUUAUUUCCCAAGUAAAGUUUGUCUCUUCAACGGGGUCGGAACAAGGCUGUGGCUAGCAAGUUCCUGACACCCGAGGGCCAGUGUGUCUCGGAAGCCAGCGAGGGGCGGAGACCCGGCCGGGGGAGGGGAGAAGCUGGGCCAGGGCCGGAGGCGAGGAGGGGCGGGGUAGGAGGGAGACCCGGUCAUCUGUCCCUUCCCCCACCGGUCCUCUUAGGGGUGGUGGAGAUGUGGGCCGCACAGCUGCGUGGCCGGGGCUGUGCGGAUUCCCUAAACGCCGCACUUGCGCACAGCCCCUUACGUAACUGUCAGCGCCGGGGAUUCCCUAGAGGGGGUCAUUCUAUUCAACCAUUACACACACCCCGGGUUCCUGCCGCCGCCGCCGCCUCACAAAAUGGCGGCGCCCAUAGAGGAGACAGCGGCCGCCUCCUCGGCCCCAUUUUGUGGGAGGCGAGAGAUCUGUCAACAUGGAAUACCUCCGCUGAGGAUGCGUCCGAGUUUGGAAGUCCUCCUUCAGGGAUGGAGCCGAGGGGAUCUCGUUCGACAGAAAAUGUCAGCGACUUCUAGCACCUCCACGCUUUUUUACUUUUUUUUCAUUUUCUCGAAGGAAGCGCCAGAAGCCGCCGGGGUAAAUGUAACUAAAGGGAGAAGGGAAAGCUGCGGCUGACUGCUCCAAGGACUUGCCGCGGCGUCUUGGUGGCUUGGCGGCUAUUCCACGCUCCGGGCAGCUGCCCGCGGUCUCGCGGAGGGUCGCCUGGGCCGCCCGGCCCGCUGCGAGGGGACGGGGACCGGGCGAUGCGGAGCGGCAGUGGCAGCCUCGGCCGCGCCACUUGUGCAGCGAGACUUUAGGGUAGUUUUUAAAUGCCAGAGGCCACGGCCCCGUCGCUAGGCCGCGUCUCAGUCGGGGGCUUUGGGAACCCCGGAGGCCCCUGCUGCGGGAACGCGCGGUCGGCCGGAGCCCGGGAGCCGGGUUGGCCGCAGCGGGCGGUACUCGCGGAUUCCCGCAGCCCCGGCGCACCGGGCGGUCGCGGCCCGGACCCGGGCGCUGGCUGGUGUUGAAGGGCCGGAGUGGGAACGGAGGCUCGUACACUGAAAUUUAAGUCGUCCGAGUCGGGACCCAGGAUUGUAAACAAUGUCUCAGGUUAGACGUUAGCACGUCUUUUCUAGUGUCCCACUCUGCAGCGGGCAAACGUGGUUGCCUUAUUUCUAAUUCGAAGGGCAGAGUGGAGGGGUGGCAUUUUAUAUUUUUAAUCUUCAAAGGGAGGUUACCACUUUUAAGCCGCUGACUGCUUGCUCUUAAUGUGUUUGUGUGUAAUAUACACACAUGGAUAUGUUACAAUAGUGUGUUUUGCUUUUCAGUACAAGUAUCAAGGCUAAUGACCUGGAGUGUGAUACUAACGUUUUAAUGCCUUUUUAAAAAAUUUAAGAUGUGACAUGUAACUGGAGAAUUGACUCUGAAAAAAAAUUCCUUUUCUGCAGAAGAAGCUGUCGUCUUCAAAAUGGAGUCGUAAAGUAUAUCUGAUGAAUAGAAUUUAAAUUCAUAACACUUUGAAUAUGCUCUAGUCAAAGAAAAAAACAGAAAAUUUGAUGUUUAUCAGAAUACUACUUGGUUCAACUUCUCCAAGACUAGAAGAAUGUAAGGCAGAAUGCAGAAUUCCAUCUUUCUGCAGGCUGCGCCUCAGUCACUAAGUUCCACGCCCCGUCCCUUGCCGCACCCGGUUGCUACUCCUGGCGUGUGGAUGACCAAGAUACAGUUUCUGGUCCUGUCUGUUCCUACUGAUGUUCUUUAUAUUUAAUAAAUUUGGUUACCACUAA
Ceratotherium simum simum (southern white rhinoceros) is the source of this 1895-nucleotide non-coding RNA. The record is from RefSeq and is a predicted model, not a curated record. Lineage: Eukaryota; Metazoa; Chordata; Mammalia; Perissodactyla; Rhinocerotidae.